RNAcentral lists this ribosomal RNA (1139 nucleotides) under Salmonella enterica. RNAcentral describes it as "partial 23S ribosomal RNA". It matches the Rfam family "Bacterial large subunit ribosomal RNA", at positions 1288 to 2410 of the family's 2925-position model. Lineage: Bacteria; Pseudomonadati; Pseudomonadota; Gammaproteobacteria; Enterobacterales; Enterobacteriaceae. The record is from RNAcentral.
GUGCGAAUGCUGACAUAAGUAACGAUAAUGCGGGUGAAAAACCCGCACGCCGGAAGACCAAGGGUUCCUGUCCAACGUUAAUCGGGGCAGGGUGAGUCGACCCCUAAGGCGAGGCCGAAAGGCGUAGUCGAUGGGAAACGGGUUAAUAUUCCCGUACCUGGUGUUACUGCGAAGGGGGGACGGAGAAGGCUAUGUUGGCCGGGCGACGGUUGUCCCGGUUUAAGCGUGCAGGUGUGUGUUCCAGGAAAAUCCGGUUCACUUUAACACUGAGGCGUGACGACGAGGCACUACGGUGCUGAAGCAACAAAUGCCCUGCUUCCAGGAAAAGCCUCUAAGCCUCAGGUAACAUCAGAUCGUACCCGAAACCGACACAGGUGGUCAGGUAGAGAAUACCAAGGCGCUUGAGAGAACCCGGGUGAAGGAACUAGGCAAAAUGGUGCCGUAACUUCGGGAGAAGGCACGCUGACAUGUAGGUGAAGCGGUUUACCCGUGGAGCUGAAGUCAGUCGAAGAUACCAGCUGGCUGCAACUGUUUAUUAAAAACACAGCACUGUGCAAACACGAAAGUGGACGUAUACGGUGUGACGCCUGCCCGGUGCCGGAAGGUUAAUUGAUGGGGUCAGCGCAAGCGAAGCUCCUGAUCGAAGCCCCGGUAAACGGCGGCCGUAACUAUAACGGUCCUAAGGUAGCGAAAUUCCUUGUCGGGUAAGUUCCGACCUGCACGAAUGGCGUAAUGAUGGCCAGGCUGUCUCCACCCGGGACUCAGUGAAAUUGAACUCGCUGUGAAGAUGCAGUGUACCCGCGGCAAGACGGAAAGACCCCGUGAACCUUUACUAUAGCUUGACACUGAACACUGGUCCUUGAUGUGCAGGAUAGGUGGGAGGCUUUGAAGUGUGGACGCCAGUCUGCAUGGAGCCGUCCUUGAAAUACCACCCUUUAAUGGCUGGUGUUCUAACGUAGACCCGUGAACCGGGUUGCGGACAGUGUCUGGUGGGUAGUUUGACUGGGGCGGUCUCCUCCUAAAGCGUAACGGAGGAGCACGAAGGUUGGCUAAUCCUGGUCGGACAUCAGGAGGUUAGUGCAAUGGCAUAAGCCAGCUUGACUGCGAGCGUGACGGCGCGAGCAGGUGCGAAAGCAGGU